CAUUAAUUGAUUUAAUGAUAAAGGAUGUUUGCUUAACCUUUAUGUUGGCUGUUGUUAUUAUCAAUAACUACUGCCUACUGUAAGGAGCGGUAGGAAAAUAAUGAUAUUCCCAUCCUAUAAGUGUUGUCUAAAGACUGGUGCCAGAAGACUCGGUAAGGCCAGAAACGCUAACGUUAAUAGUCUUGAUCAGGCGUAAAGGGUUCGUAGGCAUCUCUGUAUAAAAAAGGACCCUUUUUAAUUAGCUUUCUUAAUAUAUCUCCCCCACUCCAAUAACUGCUCUCGCCUUUCCCUUACACCUGGUGGGUGUCAAAACCUACCUGUAGGAGUCAGGCGAUGCUAGUAUAGGCUGAAUGGUGAAGAUAAAGUCAAGCUUAAUUUUGUUCUUUGUCGGUUUGAAAUUAAUUUCUAACCAACCAGUAAUGAAAGAACAAAAACAAAUAGGAAAUAUUCUAAUUUUAAUAUAAACAGAGAUAGAAUCUUAUCCGUGACAAAGAGAAAUGCCGGAAGGAGGGGUGAAAUCUUUAGAAUUCUGUGUGGAAGACUCUGGGCGAAAGCUAUAUGUCUAGAAAAGAUUGACGCUAAAGAACGUAGGUUGGGAUAAGAAAAAAGGAUUAGAUACCCAAGUAUUCCCAUCUGUUAACGAUGAAUAGUAGUCCUUCAGUUUAU
RNAcentral lists this ribosomal RNA (666 nucleotides) under Fibrodontia alba. RNAcentral describes it as "partial small subunit ribosomal RNA". It matches the Rfam family "Bacterial small subunit ribosomal RNA", at positions 424 to 832 of the family's 1533-position model. The record is from RNAcentral. Lineage: Eukaryota; Fungi; Basidiomycota; Agaricomycetes; Trechisporales; Hydnodontaceae.